CCCUUAGAUGUCCGGGGCUGCACGCGCGCUACACUGAAGGAAUCAGCGUGCUAAAACCAUUGUCGAAAGGCAUUGGUAAACCCAUUAAAAUCCUACGUGAUUGGGAUCGGGAAUUGCAAUUAUUUCCCUUGAACGAGGAAUUCCCAGUAAGUGUGGGUCAUAAGCUCGCGUUGAUUACGUCCCUGCCCUUUGUACACACCGCCCGUCGCUGCCCGGGACUGAGCCGUUUCGAGAAAGGCGGGGACUGCUGCUGUCGGGGCUUUCGGGCCUUGGCUUCGGUGGAAACCGCUUUAAUCGCAGUGGCUUGAACCGGGCAAAAGUCGUANCA
This 328-nucleotide ribosomal RNA is filed under the name uncultured eukaryote. RNAcentral describes it as "partial 18S ribosomal RNA". It matches the Rfam family "Eukaryotic small subunit ribosomal RNA", at positions 1470 to 1796 of the family's 1831-position model. The record is from RNAcentral.